UUUCGCGGCAGAUUUAGUUUAGUUUGGCGGGGGUAAAUGGCCCCACCAAAGAAUGAAUCUGUAUUCCGGGCUCUGAGGAGGAGCGCACGGGACCACCACUGGGAAACUGAACACGGGUCCCAGACUCCCUACGGGGAGGGCCAGCCAGUGGGGGAAAUUUUGCGCGAAGGGGGAAAACCCCUGACGCGAGCGAACGCCGCGUGGAGGAAUGAAAAUAUUCUUGGGUGUUAAACUCCCUUUUCGAUUAGGGAAAGAAUUUAUGACGGGUUACCCUAUAGAAAGAACCCCCGGGCUUAACUUUCGUGCCCAGCCAGCCCGCGGUUAAUACGAAGGGGGGGCCAAGUUGUUUCGGAAAUUUAUUGGGGCGUUAAAGGGGCGCGUAGGGCGGUUUGACCAAGUUCACGUGAAAAUCUAUGGGGCUCAACCCAUAGUCUGCGAUGGAAAACUGUCGGGCUUGAAUGGGAGAGGUGAGUGGAAUUUCCGGUGUAGCGGUGAAAUGCGUAGAUAUCGGAAGGAACCUGAGGCGAAAGCGGCUCACUGGACCAUAACUGACGCUGAGGCGCGAAAGCUAGGG
Molecule: ribosomal RNA, 574 nt
Filed under: uncultured bacterium
Lineage: Bacteria
Description: bacterial SSU rRNA
Rfam family: Bacterial small subunit ribosomal RNA
Source: RNAcentral